Molecule: ribosomal RNA, 427 nt
Filed under: uncultured bacterium
Lineage: Bacteria
Description: partial 16S ribosomal RNA
Rfam family: Bacterial small subunit ribosomal RNA
Source: RNAcentral
UGGCGGCGACCGGCGCGACGGGUGCGUAACGCGUAUGCAACCUGCCCGCAACAGGGGUAUAACGGAGAGAAAUUUUCCACUAAUCCCCCGUAUUGUCGCGUCACCGCAUGAUGGUGCGACGAAAGGUUUAUUCUGGUUGCGGAUGGGCAUGCGUGACAUUAGGUAGUUGGCGGGGCAACGGCCCACCAAGCCGACGAUGUCUAGGGAGCUGAGAGGCUUAUCCCCCACACUGGUACUGAGACACGGACCAGACUCCUACGGGAGGCAGCAGUGAGGAAUAUUGGUCAAUGGGAGGAAUCCUGAACCAGCCAUGCCGCGUGGGGAAGAAGGCCCUACGGGUUGUAAACCCCUUUUAGCCGGGAGUAAUAAGCGGGAUGCGUCCCGUGAUGAGAGUACCGGCGGAAUAAGCAUCGGCUAACUCCGUGCC